UUUCCGUAGGUGAACCUGCGGAAGGAUCAUUAUUGAAUAAACCUGAUGUGGCUGUUAGCUGGCUUUUCGAAGCAUGUGCUCGUCCGUCAUCUUUGCCUCUCCACCUGUGCACAUUUUGUAGUCUUGGAUACCUCUCGAGGCAACUCGGAUUUUAGGAUCGCUGUGCUGUACAAGUCGGCUUUCCUUUCAUUUCCAAGACUAUGUUUUUAUAUACACCAAAGUAUGUUUAAAGAAUGUCAUCAAUAGAAACUUGUUUCCUAUAUAAUUAUACAACUUUCAGCAACGGAUCUCUUGGCUCUC
This 300-nucleotide unclassified non-coding RNA is filed under the name plant metagenome. RNAcentral's name for it is "partial contains small subunit ribosomal RNA, internal transcribed spacer 1, and 5.8S ribosomal RNA". The record is from RNAcentral.